RNAcentral lists this long non-coding RNA (355 nucleotides) under Parus major (Great Tit). RNAcentral's name for it is "lncRNA (ENSPMJG00000016123.1)". Lineage: Eukaryota; Metazoa; Chordata; Aves; Passeriformes; Paridae. The record is from RNAcentral.
AACCCACAAAAACCUCCCAGAUUUGCUCCCAUCAAUUUCUUCAUGGAAGAGGCUUUGCUACCCUAUGUUGAUUGGGUUGGAGCAGCACGAACUAGACCUGGCAUACACACAGUGUUGUGGCAGUGGUUGUUGCAGCAGCUGUGGUGUGGCAAGACACACUGAUGUCCCGUGGACUGCUGUUGUCUUCAACUGCACAGGAAGCAGCAACACUUGGGGAACGUUAAACAGGUCUAUCCUGAAAGUAACCUGGGGCUCCAUCAUGCAGAAUGAAAAAUGAAAGGUAAGGACAAAUGCAAAGGGAAUCCAGGGCACAGUGCAGGAGAAAGCUACUUAAUAAAUAUUUGUAAGUGGGACA